GCCGGGCGUGGUGGCGCGCGCCUGUAGUCCCAGCUACUCGGGAGGCUGAGGUGGGAGGAUCGCUUGAGUCCAGGAAUUCUGGGCUGCAGUGCGCUAUGCCGAUCGGGUGUCCGCACUAAGUUCGGCAUCAAUAUGGUGACCUCCCGGGAGCGGGGGACCACCAAGUUGCCUAAGAAGGGGUGAACCGGCCCAGGUCGGAAACGGAGCAGGUCAAAACUCCCGUGCUGAUCAGUAGUGGGAUCGCGCCUGUGAAUAGCCACUGCACUCCAGCUGGGCAAUAUAGUGAGACCCUGUCUCU
Molecule: signal recognition particle RNA, 298 nt
Filed under: Cavia porcellus (domestic guinea pig)
Lineage: Eukaryota; Metazoa; Chordata; Mammalia; Rodentia; Caviidae
Description: Metazoan signal recognition particle RNA (ENSCPOG00000040747.1)
Rfam family: Metazoan signal recognition particle RNA
About the family: The signal recognition particle (SRP) is a universally conserved ribonucleoprotein.
Source: RNAcentral